AACCAACUGGGAUCUCUUCAGUAAUUGCGCAUGAACCAGGAUAUGCUUAGCUUGACAAAUGGAGCUGCUGGCUCUGAAUUGUAUUGUGGGAAUGUAUUACCAACAGAGGUGCAGGUGUCAGCCAUUUGAAAGAAAGCAUCAAUGAGGGUGAGAGUCCUGUUUGUCAUGUGCAGCCUUCUGUGCACGGUGUAUAUUUGCUGAGUCACACUCCUUGGCAUUGGAAUGCAAAGUGGGUGGUAAGUUUCAUGCAAAGGUAAAUAUGCAAUUGAGACUGAUAGCGCACAAGUACCAUGAGGGACAUAUGAAAAGGACUUUGAAAAGAGAAUUAAAUGAGUUUGUAUUUGCUAAACACAAAGUAAACAGACUUGAUUUCCUCAGUGAGAUUGUAGUGCUUGCUUGACAAUGGGUUUUGGCUGCAAGUGCAAUAAUUCUUGCUUUGUGUGCCAGUUUUUAUGUGGACAUUUGAUUACCUUUGCACAUGAAUGGUAAUUUUCCUGCGGGGUGUGGAUUGCAUAUGCAUGUAAUGAUUUGCAUGUUUGUUAAAUGUGUCUGGUGUAUUUGUUUGUGUCCUUGUCCUUGAGGUUGCUUUCUCCCUUGGGCUUACAUGCCCUGGCACACACAUUCUGGCAAAAUGCUUCUGCUUGACCCGUCUUGAAACACGGACCAAGGAGUCUAACAGAUGUGCAAGUUUGAAGGUGGUAUACCUGUGUGUGUAAUGAAAGUAUUGGCUGGGAUAUUUGCACCAGCAGCCGACUAAUUAGCAGACAGAGGUUUGAGUUGGAGCAUAUCUAUUAGGACCCGAAAGAUGGUGAACUAUGCUUGAACAGAAAGAAUUCAGAGGAAACUCUGAUGGAGGUUCGUAUCGAUACUGACGUGCAAAUCGUUCGUCAUAUUUGGGUAUAGGGGCGAAAGACUAAUCGAACCAUCUAGUAGCUGGUUCCCUCCGAAGUUUCCCUCAGGAUAGCUGGAGUUGCACAGUUUUAUCAGGUAAAGCGAAUGAUUAGAGGAAUUGGGGACAGAUGUGUCCUUGACCUAUUCUCAAACUUUAAAUGGGUAAUAUGUAGUGGUUGCUUGAUGGAACUUCUAAAAUGAAUGGCAAUAUUAGGUGGGCCAUUUUUGGUAAGCAGAACUGGCGAUGAGGGAUGAACCUAAUGCUGGGUUAAGGUGCUUAAUUACUUGCUCAUUUGAUACCAGAAAGGGUGUUGGUUCAUUUUAACAGCAGGACGGUGGUCAUGGAAGUCGAAAUCCGCUAAGGAGUGUGUAACAACUCACCUCCCGAAUGGACUAGCCCCGAAAAUGGAUGGCGCUCAAGCGGGUGACUGAUACCCAACCACUGUUGCAAACAACAUCAAUGUGUAGGAGGGCAUGGUGGCUUGUGAAACA
RNAcentral lists this ribosomal RNA (1383 nucleotides) under Alexandrium pacificum. Its description in RNAcentral is "partial large subunit ribosomal RNA". It matches the Rfam family "Eukaryotic large subunit ribosomal RNA", at positions 63 to 1407 of the family's 3401-position model. Lineage: Eukaryota; Dinophyceae; Gonyaulacales; Pyrocystaceae. The record is from RNAcentral.